This 254-nucleotide ribosomal RNA is filed under the name uncultured bacterium. RNAcentral describes it as "partial 16S ribosomal RNA". It matches the Rfam family "Bacterial small subunit ribosomal RNA", at positions 524 to 776 of the family's 1533-position model. The record is from RNAcentral.
UACGGGGGGAGCAAGCGUUGUUCGGAUUUACUGGGCGUAAAGGGCGCGUAGGCGGUCAGCACAAGUCAAUUGUGAAAUCUCCGGGCUUAACCCGGAAAGGUCAACUGAUACUGUGCGACUAGAGUGCGGAAGGGGCAACUGGAAUUCUCGGUGUAGCGGUGAAAUGCGUAGAUAUCGAGAGGAACACCUGCGGCGAAGGCGGGUUGCUGGGCCGACACUGACGCUGAUGCGCGAAAGCCAGGGGAGCGAACGGG